GCUACACAUGCAGUCGAGGGGUAACAGGGUAGCAAUAUCGCUGACGACCGGCGCACGGGUGAGUAACGCGUAUGCAACCUUCCUUUAACUGGGGGAUAGCCCGGAGAAAUUCGGAUUAAUACCCCAUAACAUCAUGAAGAGGCAUCUUUUUAUGAUUAAAGCUCCGGCGGUUAAAGAUGGGCAUGCGUGCCAUUAGCUUGUUGGUGAGGUAACGGCUCACCAAGGCUACGAUGGUUAGGGGGUCUGAGAGGAUGAUCCCCCACACUGGUACUGAGACACGGACCAGACUCCUACGGGAGGCAGCAGUGAGGAAUAUUGGGCAAUGGGCGCAAGCCUGACCCAGCCAUGCCGCGUGAAGGAUGAAUGCCCUAUGGGUUGUAAACUUCUUUUGUACGGGACGAAAUUCCUGGUCGUGACCGGGAUUGACUGUACCGUGCGAAUAAGCAUCGGCUAACUCCGUGUCAGCAGCCGCGGUAAUACGGAGGAUGCAAGCGUUAUCCGGAUUCAUUGGGUUUAAAGGGUGCGUAGGCGGAAUAAUAAGUCAGUGGUGAAAGCCUGCGGCUUAACCGUAGAACUGCCAUUGAUACUGUUAUUCUUGAGUAUAGUUGAGGUGGGCGGAAUGUGUAAUGUAGCGGUGAAAUGCUUAGAUAUUACACAGAACACCAAUUGCGAAGGCAGCUCACUAAGCUGUUACUGACGCUGAGGCACGAAAGCGUGGGGAGCAAACAGGAUUAGAUACCCUGGUAGUCCACGCCGUAAACGAUGAUCACUCGUUGUUGGCGAUACACCGUCAGCGACUGAGCGAAAGCAAUAAGUGAUCC
RNAcentral lists this ribosomal RNA (821 nucleotides) under uncultured bacterium. RNAcentral's name for it is "bacterial SSU rRNA". It matches the Rfam family "Bacterial small subunit ribosomal RNA", at positions 48 to 870 of the family's 1533-position model. The record is from RNAcentral.